This 77-nucleotide transfer RNA is filed under the name Deinococcus ruber. Its description in RNAcentral is "tRNA-Arg". It matches the Rfam family "tRNA". From Rfam's summary of the family: Transfer RNA (tRNA) molecules are approximately 80 nucleotides in length. Their secondary structure includes four short double-helical elements and three loops (D, anti-codon, and T loops). Lineage: Bacteria; Thermotogati; Deinococcota; Deinococci; Deinococcales; Deinococcaceae. The record is from RNAcentral.
UGAAUCCGUAGCUCAGAUGGAAGAGCUUCCGUUUACGAAGCGGAAGGUCGCAGGUUCAACUCCUGCCGGGUUCAGCC